UUGCAUAUCACUAAGCGGAGGAAAAGAAACCAACAGGGAUUGCCUUAGUAGCGGCGAGUGAAGCGGCAAGAGCUCAAAUUUGAAAUCUGGCGUAAGCCCGAGUUGUAAUUUGAAGAAGAUAUUCUUGGAAUUGGUCCUUGUCUAUGUUCCUUGGAACAGGACGUCACAGAGGGUGAGAAUCCCGUGCGACAAGGAAUUCUUUUCUUUAUAAGAUGUCUUCGAAGAGUCGAGUUGUUUGGGAAUGCAGCUCAAAGUGGGUGGUAAAUUCCAUCUAAAGCUAAAUAUUGGCGAGAGACCGAUAGCGAACAAGUACUGUGAAGGAAAGAUGAAAAGAACUUUGAAAAGAGAGUGAAAAAGUACGUGAAAUUGUUGAAAGGGAAGGGUAUUCGAUCAGACUGGUAUUUAAUUAUCGCUACUCCUUGUGGGUGGUGCUCUAAUUUCUUACUGGGCCAACAUCAGUUUUGGUGGUAAGAUAAUCGCAGUUGAAUGUGGCUCCUCGGAGUGUUAUAGCUUCUGUUGAUGUUACCUACCGGGACUGAGGUCUGCGACUUUGUCUAGGAUGUUGGCGUAAUGAUCCAAUACCGCCCGUCUUGAAAACACGG
Molecule: ribosomal RNA, 602 nt
Filed under: [Candida] sp.
Lineage: Eukaryota; Fungi; Ascomycota; Saccharomycetes; Saccharomycetales
Description: LSU rRNA
Rfam family: Eukaryotic large subunit ribosomal RNA
Source: RNAcentral